ACAGUUUGAUUCUGACUGACAUAUUAACUUAUAUCAACCAAUAUACAUGUCAAAAAAUAUGUCCCCGCAAAUUUACAAACCUAAAAGACAUAAAUUACCGUAUUUAGAAAUAUACUCCAUACGAUAGGGCGCCACAGUAAAUAACACUUUACAUUUUGAAAAAUCAAGAUGAGGGUAUGAUUAAAGGGUUGGCAAAAUUCGUGCCAGCUGCCGCGGUUAGACGAAGAACCCAAGUUAAUAAAAUAUAGACCAAUUAAAGACAAAUUAAAAAUAAUUAAAAGUCUAAUUUCUACAACCUGAGUGCCACAUUUGUCCAAACAAAAUGAAACCAUGACCUAAAACAUGGAUUAGAUACCCAUCUAUUCAUGACAUAAAUUAAAUAGUCGAAUAUUACGAACCAUAGUUUAAAAUUCAAAGAUUUUGGCGGUGUCUUAUAAAACCAGGGGAACCUGUCUCAUAACUCGAUAAUCCACGACUACCUAACCUUUUUUAGAAAUUCAGCUUGUGUACUGCCGUUGUAAGCACACCUUUAAAAGAACCAGUGUGCCUCUAUAACCUCACCUAACAUGAGACUCAUAUACAUCAGGUCAAAGUGCAGCUAAUAAAAAGGAGAUGAUGGGUUACAACCAAAAUAAAGAUACGAAUUAACAUAUUAAAAAAUUAUGAAGGUGGACUUGGAUGUAAUUAAGAACAGAAAAAUAAAAUGAAUUCUCAUCUAAGACAUGCACACAUCGCCCGUCACUCUACCCCCAAGGCUAGAUAAGUCGUAACAAAGUAGGUGUAAUGGAAAUUGCACCUGU
RNAcentral lists this ribosomal RNA (800 nucleotides) under Perionyx excavatus (compost worm). RNAcentral describes it as "small subunit ribosomal RNA". The record is from RNAcentral. Lineage: Eukaryota; Metazoa; Annelida; Clitellata; Crassiclitellata; Megascolecidae.